GAUGAAGAACGUAGUGAAAUGCGAUAAGUAGUGUGAAUCGCAGAAUUCAGUGAAUCAUCGAAUCUUUGAACGCACAUUGCGCCCCUUGGUAUCCCGAGGGGCAUGCCUGUUCGAGCGUCAUUUCACCACUCAAGCCUGGCUUGGUGUUGGGCGACGUCCUCUUUGGGGACGCGCCUCGAAACGCUCGGCGGCGUGGCACCGGCUUUAAGCGUAGCAGAAUCUUUCGCUUUGGAAGUCGGGGCCCCGUCUGCCGGAAGACCUGCUCGCAAGGUUGACAUCGGAUCAGGCAGGGAUCCCCGCUGAACUUAAGCAUAUCAAUAAGCGGAGGA
This 329-nucleotide unclassified non-coding RNA is filed under the name soil metagenome. Its description in RNAcentral is "partial contains 5.8S ribosomal RNA, internal transcribed spacer 2, and large subunit ribosomal RNA". The stretch from base 1 to 120 matches the Rfam family "5.8S ribosomal RNA", at positions 35 to 154 of the family's 154-position model. The record is from RNAcentral.